RNAcentral lists this long non-coding RNA (654 nucleotides) under Zonotrichia albicollis (white-throated sparrow). RNAcentral describes it as "lncRNA (ENSZALG00000006029.1)". The record is from RNAcentral. Lineage: Eukaryota; Metazoa; Chordata; Aves; Passeriformes; Passerellidae.
AGCCGGGGCUGCAGGGCUCAGUCCGGCGGGGCUCCCCGCGCUCCAGGCGGCUGCCGGACACAGCCCCAUCCCGGGGCUGCGUGUCACCGCCAUGCGAGUGCCGGGCGCAGGCCCUUCCCCUGUCUAGAGCUGACAGAAACAUGGAACAUAGAGAGCUCUUGGUCAAAUGGAGAACUUGUAUGAGGAAAGUCUGAAGCUGGAAACAUCUCACAGAAGACGCCCUGAUUCUUGUGUGGUUUGCAAUAACCAAUGGAACGAGUGUGGAACAUGGACCUGCAGCUCCAGCCUGGUUGGGUGCACAGGCAUGUGCUCUAUGUGGCUCUGCUUUCUUGUUGCUUGUGGAUGUGUUUGGAAAACACCCUGUGAAUGCACAUGGAGGACCCAAAGAUGCCACCAGAUAAUCAUAUUUCUAAUUGAUAUUUAAGUCACAUGUUAUGUAUGCUGUAAGUCAGUGUUCUGUAAUGUAAAACAAAAAUCAAAAAGAUCUGGAUCUUUUAAAGUACUUGUUAACAUGCUUUGCCAUGCAUCAUUAGGACAGUAUUUCUUUCUAAAAGGUAUCUAAAAAAUGAUCAGUAAAAAUAAUCUGUAAUCAAGACAACACAUUUCUAUCAGUGGAAGAAUAAAGCAAAUAAAAUUAUAGGAGAAGGAAGUAAA